RNAcentral lists this ribosomal RNA (274 nucleotides) under uncultured bacterium. RNAcentral's name for it is "partial 16S ribosomal RNA". It matches the Rfam family "Bacterial small subunit ribosomal RNA", at positions 523 to 796 of the family's 1533-position model. The record is from RNAcentral.
AUACGGAGGGUGCAAGCGUUACUCGGAAUCACUGGGCGUAAAGCGCGCGCAGGCGGGCUGAUAAGUUGGAUGUGAAAGCCUACGGCUCAACCGUAGAACUGCAUCCAAAACUGUCAGUCUAGAGUGUGGGAGAGGAAGAUGGAAUUAGUUGUGUAGGGGUAAGAUCCGUAGAGAUAACUAGGAAUACCAAAAGCGAAGGCAAUCUUCUGGAACACUACUGACGCUGAGGCGCGAAGGCGUGGGGAGCAAACAGGAUUAGAAACCCCAGUAGUCC